UAUCGUAGCGCCGCGUUCGGUGCUCGCAUGCGCAUUCCGCGCGUGCAGUUAAACGGGAAACAGGAGGCGGACCACCGCCCGGCCUGUGCUGUCCCCGCAACGGUACGCCGCCCGCGCGACGCGCUUCCCCGCGCACGCGCCCAGGCCGCCCUCGAUGCCACUGCCCUUCAGCCGGGCGGGAAGGCUGCGGCCCGGCAAGCGGCCAGCCCGGAUACCGGCCGACGCAAGGGGCGAGCC
Molecule: non-coding RNA, 237 nt
Filed under: Mumia flava
Lineage: Bacteria; Bacillati; Actinomycetota; Actinomycetes; Propionibacteriales; Nocardioidaceae
Source: RNAcentral